Molecule: long non-coding RNA, 325 nt
Filed under: Lathyrus oleraceus (garden pea)
Lineage: Eukaryota; Viridiplantae; Streptophyta; Magnoliopsida; Fabales; Fabaceae
Description: Pisum sativum (pea) long non-coding RNA (PSAT_LNC015557)
Source: RNAcentral
GAGUAGAUUUUAUUAGUUUGUUUAUUUUUUUUUUGUUUUGGACACUAUUUUGGUUUUGUAACGAAUUAAUUGUAUAUUAUUGACAUUUUAAGUUAACAUUUCAUUGGAUGAAAACUAGCAUUACAUUACUACAUGAUGAACACGACUUAACACAAACAUUGCUUAGCAUAACUUAACAAGAAAAUAACAUGCACAAAACUUAAACAGUACAAGAUGCUUCAUGACGUUUCAACAUCUUGAUAAUAUCGUCUACAAAUCUCGCAAUUGUCGCAUACACCUCAAUCAUACCUUUUUUUUCAUAUUGUUGAUAUGUGAGCCACAUAAC